GCAUGAUGCAGUGUGAAAAACUCCGGUGGUAUAAGAUGGACCCGCGUUGGAUUAGCUAGUUGGUGAGGUAACGGCCCACCAAGGCGACGAUCCAUAGCCGACCUGAGAGGGUGACCGGCCACAUUGGGACUGAGACACGGCCCAAACUCCUACGGGAGGCAGCAGUGGGGAAUAUUGCACAAUGGGCGAAAGCCUGAUGCAGCGACGCCGCGUGAGCGAAGGAGUAUUUCGGUAUGUAAAGCUCUAUCAGCAGGGAAGAUAAUGACGGUACCUGACUAAGAAGCACCGGCUAAAUACGUGCCAGCAGCCGCGGUAAUACGUAUGGUGCAAGCGUUAUCCGGAUUUACUGGGUGUAAAGGGAGCGCAGGCGGUGCGGCAAGUCUGAUGUGAAAGCCCGGGGCUCAACCCCGGUACUGCAUUGGAAACUGUCGUACUAGAGUGUCGGAGGGGUAAGCGGAAUUCCUAGUGUAGCGGUGAAAUGCGUAGAUAUUAGGAGGAACACCAGUGGCGAAGGCGGCUUACUGGACGAUAACUGACGCUGAGGCUCGAAAGCGUGGGGAGCAAACAGGAUUAGAUACCCUGGUAGUCCACGCGGUAAACGAUGAAUACUAGGUGUCGGG
This 620-nucleotide ribosomal RNA is filed under the name uncultured bacterium. Its description in RNAcentral is "bacterial SSU rRNA". It matches the Rfam family "Bacterial small subunit ribosomal RNA", at positions 188 to 827 of the family's 1533-position model. The record is from RNAcentral.